Hibiscus syriacus is the source of this 199-nucleotide long non-coding RNA. RefSeq lists it as uncharacterized. The transcript has 3 exons. The record is from RefSeq and is a predicted model, not a curated record. NCBI's taxonomy places the organism in Eukaryota, Viridiplantae, Streptophyta, Magnoliopsida, Malvales, Malvaceae.
CAUGUCGAUUUUUUUGAGAGCCAAAAAGUCCUUCUCCACUUCUCUGAUCUCUCAAAUCCUUGUCUCGCUUUCAGAGGUGCAACCACACCACGUUAGGCGAAAGAAGUUUGCAAGCUGAAUUAUAUUCUAAAAUGGCUCCAGCGGCUAAUCGCACUCUUCCACCAAUUGACACGUCAAAUUGGAAGAAAAUCCAAGCAAG